RNAcentral lists this ribosomal RNA (253 nucleotides) under uncultured bacterium. Its description in RNAcentral is "partial 16S ribosomal RNA". It matches the Rfam family "Bacterial small subunit ribosomal RNA", at positions 524 to 776 of the family's 1533-position model. The record is from RNAcentral.
UACAGAGGUCCCAAGCGUUGUUCGGAUUCACUGGGCGUAAAGGGUGCGUAGGUGGUUGUGCAAGUCUGAUGUGAAAUCUAUGGGCUCAACCCAUAGUCUGCAUCGGAAACUGUCGGGCUUGAGUAUGGGAGAGGUGAGUGGAAUUUCCGGUGUAGCGGUGAAAUGCGUAGAUAUCGGAAGGAACACCUGUGGCGAAAGCGGCUCACUGGACCAUUACUGACGCUGAGGCACGAAAGCUAGGGGAGCAAACAGG